This 497-nucleotide ribosomal RNA is filed under the name uncultured bacterium. RNAcentral describes it as "partial 16S ribosomal RNA". It matches the Rfam family "Bacterial small subunit ribosomal RNA", at positions 28 to 507 of the family's 1533-position model. The record is from RNAcentral.
GAUGAACGCUGGCGGCGUGCCUAAUACAUGCAAGUCGAGCGAACGGACGAGAAGCUUGCUUUUCUGAUGUUAGCGGCGGACGGGUGAGUAACACGUGGAUAACCUACCUAUAAGACUGGGAUAACUUCGGGAAACCGGAGCUAAUACCGGAUAAUAUUUUUAACCGCAUGGUUCAAAAUUGAAAGACGGUCUUGCUGUCACUUAUAGAUGGAUCCGCGCUGCAUUAGCUAGUUGGUAAGGUAACGGCUUACCAAGGCAACGAUGCAUAGCCGACCUGAGAGGGUGAUCGGCCACACUGGAACUGAGACACGGUCCAGACUCCUACGGGAGGCAGCAGUAGGGAAUCUUCCGCAAUGGGCGAAAGCCUGACGGAGCAACGCCGCGUGAGUGAUGAAGGUCUUCGGAUCGUAAAACUCUGUUAUUAGGGAAGAACAUAUGUGUAAGUAACUGUGCACAUAUUGACGGUACCUAAUCAGAAAGCCACGGCUAACUACGUG